AUCAAUAUGUCCAAUGAUUUUUUUUUUUAGCUGUACGGUGCAGUCCGGUGUAUCCGCGCACCUAAGACUUAUGACUUCACUUCAUUCAGCUGAUAAAACCAAUAAUUGGAUAAUUUUGUGUGAACACAUUCAUAAUAUACUUUAAUUUCAUAAAAUCUUCUGUUUGUAUGGUUUCAUCCUCUGGAUUUUGUGUAAUGUGUGUCCAAAAUUAGGGAAGCCCCUGUUCUGAGAGUUCCUCCAAUGUCCGGUGAUUUCGCGCAUGCCUUCCAAAAAUAGCUUAUUUGGAAUAAAGGAAAGAUUUUAUAUUACGAAAUAUAGCUCAGUUUGUACCAAACACACUUCCAAG
RNAcentral lists this long non-coding RNA (346 nucleotides) under Mytilus galloprovincialis (Mediterranean mussel). The record is from RNAcentral. Lineage: Eukaryota; Metazoa; Mollusca; Bivalvia; Mytilida; Mytilidae.